GUUAAUUUUACCUUUUUUUGCACAGCUGGAGAUCAAGGAGGCUGGAAUAAUCUCUACCUUGUAUCUAAAUUUGUCUAUUCAGAGGUUCAAGGUUCCACCCAUGUGCACAUUGGUUUCCUCCCACUAGCAAAAGAUAUGUUUCAGGUGAAGUUGCAAAGACUCAUCGACAUCUAAGUGUUAUUGGCCAGCAGAAAUGGAAGAUGACUGAAAAGUGACAUCUGCACUGGACCACAGGGAGGCUGGCUACCCCAGAAAGAUUUUGGUCUUGCUGUUGGUAUUGAGGUGCUACAGCUGAACUGUCUAUUUUGGGAAUGAGUGCUAGAGGCCUCAGAUGUGUAUUUUGUGUAAAUAUAUAUAUACAUAGUUCAUUGUAAACCAGCAACUGCCGGAAAGGGGUGAGUGCUUGUUUUGUACCAGUUUUUCUCCUGUUUUUUCUUUAGUUAGGAGUCAAGUUAGACUGGUGUAUUUUCGUUUGAUUUUGUUUGGAUAGGGUAGAAAGUGGCACAAAGGGUAGGAUUUAUUUUGUUUGUUGUUUUGG
RNAcentral lists this long non-coding RNA (538 nucleotides) under Scleropages formosus (Asian bonytongue). RNAcentral's name for it is "lncRNA (ENSSFOG00015028495.1)". Lineage: Eukaryota; Metazoa; Chordata; Actinopteri; Osteoglossiformes; Osteoglossidae. The record is from RNAcentral.